RNAcentral lists this ribosomal RNA (432 nucleotides) under uncultured bacterium. RNAcentral's name for it is "partial 16S ribosomal RNA". It matches the Rfam family "Bacterial small subunit ribosomal RNA", at positions 29 to 507 of the family's 1533-position model. The record is from RNAcentral.
GCGAACGCUGGCGGCAGGCCUCACACAUGCAAGUCGAACGAACUCUUCGGAGUUAGUGGCGGACGGGUGAGUAACACGUGGGAACGUGCCUUUAGGUUCGGAAUAACUCAGGGAAACUUGUGCUAAUACCGAAUGUGCCCUUCGGGGGAAAGAUUUAUCGCCUUUAGAGCGGCCCGCGUCUGAUUAGCUAGUUGGUGAGGUAAAGGCUCACCAAGGCGACGAUCAGUAGCUGGUCUGAGAGGAUGAUCAGCCACAUUGGGACUGAGACACGGCCCAAACUCCUACGGGAGGCAGCAGUGGGGAAUCUUGCGCAAUGGGCGAAAGCCUGACGCAGCCAUGCCGCGUGAAUGAUGAAGGUCUUAGGAUUGUAAAAUUCUUUCACCGGGGACGAUAAUGACGGUACCCGGAGAAGAAGCCCCGGCUAACUUCGUG